GAAACGGUGGCUAAUACCCGAUACAUUCGGCAAUUCAGUUUGUCGAGUAAAGCUCCGGCGCUUCGAGAUGGACCUGCGGCCUAUCAGCUAGUUGGUAGGGUAAUGGCCUACCAAGGCGAAGACGGGUAGGGGGCGUGAGAGCGUGGUCCCCCACACUGGCACUGAGAUACGGGCCAGACUCCUGCGGGAGGCAGCAGUCGGGGAUAUUGCACAAUCAGCGAAAGCUGGAUGCAGCGACGCCGCGUGGGCGAUGAAGGCCUUCGGGUUGUAAAGCCCUUUUAUGGGGGAAGAGAAAAAGGACGGUACCCCAAGAAUAAGUCCCGGCUAACUACGUGCCAGCAGCCGCGGUAAAACGUAGGGGACAAGCGUUAUCCGGAUUUACUGGGCGUAAAGAGCGUUGAGGCGGUUCCGUAAGUUAGGCGUUAAAGCCCCGGGCUCAACUCGGGGAGGUCGUUCAGUACUGCGGAACUUGAGGGCAGCAGAGGGAGGCGGAAUUCCCGGUGUAGCGGUGAAAUGCGUA
RNAcentral lists this ribosomal RNA (520 nucleotides) under uncultured organism. Its description in RNAcentral is "bacterial SSU rRNA". It matches the Rfam family "Bacterial small subunit ribosomal RNA", at positions 153 to 692 of the family's 1533-position model. The record is from RNAcentral.